UUGCACGCUGGCGGCAGGCCUAACCCAUGCAAGUCGAACGGUAACAGGAAGAAGCUUGCUUCUUUGCUGACGAGUGGCGGACGGGUGAGUAAUGUCUGGGAAACUGCCUGAUGGAGGGGGAUAGCUACUGGAAACGGUAGCUAAUACCGCAUAACGUCGCAAGACCAAAGAGGGGGACCUUCGGGCCUCUUGCCAUCGGAUGUGCCCAGAUGGGAUUAGCUAGUAGGUGGGGUAACGGCUCACCUAGGCGACGAUCCCUAGCUGGUCUGAGAGGAUGACCAGCCACACUGGAACUGAGACACGGUCCAGACUCCUACGGGAGGCAGCAGUGGGGAAUAUUGCACAAUGGGCGCAAGCCUGAUGCAGCCAUGCCGCGUGUAUGAAGAAGGCCUUCGGGUUGUAAAGUACUUUCAGCGGGGAGGAAGGGAGUAAAGUUAAUACCUUUGCUCAUUGACGUUACCCGCAGAAGAAGCACCGGCUAACUCCGUG
Molecule: ribosomal RNA, 489 nt
Filed under: uncultured bacterium
Lineage: Bacteria
Description: partial 16S ribosomal RNA
Rfam family: Bacterial small subunit ribosomal RNA
Source: RNAcentral